AGUCCUCAGGGUCCCUAACGUACUGGACAGAGCUAGGAAAGCAAACCCAUUUGCUUCUUCCUGCAGGAAACCCCUUGAGGUUAAGACCCCACAAUCACAUGAGGAUGGAGUGGCUCACCCUCAGUCAACAGGCCAGACUCAAGGGGUUCCUGGCAAGUCAUUUCUCCCUCAGGCCUUCGGUUUCCUCACCUACAAGAUGAGAGGGCUGGACCAGAUGGAAAUUCAGGGGGUAAGGGGAUGUCCUCACGCAGCCCACCCCCACCCCCACGGGACCCUGGAGCCUCCAUCCCAGUUCCCACCACGCACCCGCUCCACAAAUCCUGCCCAAGGGUCUCUCAUCCAAUGACCUCAACUGCUGGAAGAAGCCACAAGAGGGAAUGCCUUUCAUCUGUGAUCUCACAUACCAGCCUGUCCUUUCCAUUGAGAGGAAAGCUGAGCUCCACUGAAGCAACAGAGGCCCAAGGAGAAACCUUAACUGUGUGCCUUUGGGGGAAAGCGUGGCCCCAGGAAGGGCUUCCGUGCUGGCCACUGCAGUGGGGUUGACAGAGCUGGUAAGCCACAAGGGGGCCCCACCCAAAGACAAGGGGGACAUUUAUUCCUGGGAACAACAAAACCUGAUGAGGCCGAGUACAUGACAAUGAAGACUGUAGAGCUUUUCCGUUCUCUAUAAAAAGGCAAGGGGUUUCUAGACAGGGAAGAAAAAGAAUUUACAGAGCAGUCUUUGUGUACUAACAUACAGCCUGCAUCUCUUUUCUUUAAAAUUUCUUGGAAGAGAAUGAGUCAUCUCAACAUUGCAGGAAACCAAAUAGAAGUUGGGGGAAAAAAUUACUUUGGACAAAGUUUUUCUCUUAAAUGUUUGCAUAGUAAUCUUUGCCUGGAAAAAAAAAAGAUGCCUAAAUUUAGAAUAGAGAUGUGGUACAGUUAACAAUGCUGGUUCUAUCGGAUGGGAAGUGUGAUGGUGUGCUCAGGCUGGGAUCUCUUAUUUUGAAACUCACCACAACCAUUUGGCCAGAGUGCUUCACUGGCCUCCACUCUGACUGCUGCCGAGGGGCUGAUCAGAAGACAAUGAGAUUGCAACAGCUUCUACCAGUUGUAUGCUGACAAAAUGGGUAGGAAAGCUUCCUUUUUCCAACAGAUAACAGCAUUGGAAACAGAACUGAAAUGCACUGUGUCAUCUCAUCUCCCCAAGACAAGACUGUAAUGUUCCAAAGCCUCCUUGCUCACAGAAAGGAUGUAACAGCAGAUAUGUACGGAAACAUAAGGAUCCUAGGCAUCCGGGAUGCCUGGCCACUGGGCUGGUCACUCUUCCUUAGACCUCUUUAAAUCAGUACAUUUCCUGAGCUUGGAUGGGUUUGUCUAUUAGCGUUUCCCAAAGAACACCAAUUAUGAAAGAGGUUUCAGACCUGUUCUCAAUAGGGAGGUUACUUGUUACCGAUUCUCUAGUUAUUUAGAUCAGCACUCAUGUGCUUUCCAAGUUGGGGGUGGGACUGUUGUUAAUUGGUUAUCUACAUUUCAAAGCUGUAUUUUUUGACAGGCACAAAAGUACCCCCUAUUUGUAAGAAAGAAGAAUAAAAAGAGGAAGGCAUGUCUCUGCCAUGUGGCGAGAGCUCAUUUCAGCCCCAUCCCAAGGCUGAGCCUGUCAGCAGGUAGGAACAGUAGGGCCAUUUAGUUCUCUGCCAUUUAGCCUGUGUCAGCAGUUUUCCAAAAAAGAAUCCAGUUUUCAAGGGCACAUAUCUCCCCAACAACCACUACUAUCCCCUCCCCACCCUAAAGAUUGUUCAGAGACCAACUGUUAAAAAAAAAAUCCAGUUUAAAACUGAAUUUAUGUUACAGAUUUCAGAGGAAAGGAACAUGACCCUGUAUUAAGCUCUGGCAGCAGAAGCACCACCAUACAUAAGGUGGUGGUUUCAGGGGCAUUCACUAACCACUUCAAAGAGGCCACAUUUCAGGAGCUGGCACUUUGCCUGAAAUGCUUUUGGUGGGGAGGAGAGGGCUAAAAGGAAUGACUGUUUGGUAGCAGGGCCAGUGCUAGGUGAUGGUGGGCACUGUGUCUGGUCCUCUCUCUCAGCUAACUUGGGCCACCAAAAUAGGUGGUACAGUGUGAGGCUGUAUGCCGAGGCUCUGGGGGUUCAGGGGGUGAUGAUCCAGCAGGUCAGAGCUCAGAAAUGACUUCUAGAUUUCCCCUCCACCAUACUACCUGCAUAUAUGCAAGCAGGGCUCUUUCUAUUCAGCAUUCAUUCAUCGGUGAGGAUACCAUGAGACGGCUCUGAGAAAGACUGAACUCCAGUUAGGACCUUAAACUAUGAGAAGCCCAAGGAUGUAUAAAACACAAAUAUACUUAAUUGCAAAACUUUUAUAGAGAGGUAGGCUAGGAGAUACCACAACAGGGACACCAGAGGUGCUUUUGCCUUCUGAAGAUAGGUAGACUAGGAUGUUCAAAAAAUACAUUUUUUAUUGCAAUACAGCAUAAUAGGUGUCUAUAAUAAAAGUACUUAUGUGUCCGG
RNAcentral lists this long non-coding RNA (2504 nucleotides) under Homo sapiens (human). RNAcentral describes it as "long non-coding RNA NONHSAT149703.1". The record is from RNAcentral. Lineage: Eukaryota; Metazoa; Chordata; Mammalia; Primates; Hominidae.